CCUACGGGAGGCAGCAGUGGGGAAUAUUGCACAAUGGGGGAAACCCUGAUGCAGCGACGCCGCGUGAGUGAAGAAGUAAUUCGUUAUGUAAAGCCCUAUCAGCAGGGAAGAAAAUGACGGUACCUGAGUAAGAAGCCCCGGCUAACUACGUGCCAGCAGCCGCGGUAAUACGUAGGGGGCAAGCGUUAUCCGGAUUUACUGGGUGUAAAGGGAGCGUAGACGGCAGUGCAAGUCUGGAGUGAAAGGCGGGGGCUCAACCCCCGGACUGCUCUGGAAACUGUGUGGCUGGAGUGCAGGAGAGGUAAGUGGAAUUCCUGGUGUAGCGGUGAAAUGCGUAGAUAUUAGGAGGAACACCAGUGGCGAAGGCGGCUUGCUGGACUGUAACUGACGUUGAGGCUCGAAAGCGUGGGGAGCAAACAGGAUUAGAUACCCGAGUAGUC
This 440-nucleotide ribosomal RNA is filed under the name uncultured bacterium. RNAcentral's name for it is "partial 16S ribosomal RNA". It matches the Rfam family "Bacterial small subunit ribosomal RNA", at positions 338 to 795 of the family's 1533-position model. The record is from RNAcentral.